UUCUGUCUUGAUAAGACAGACUGCCCGGGGAGAGGUGGUUGCUAGGAAACUCGAGAGGAGCCUUAGGUAGCCACUAAUCUAAAUGAACGUAAAUUAUUAUAAUCUGAGGAACAAGGAGUGCAUUGCAAAUUUAAUCAAUAGCUUAACAUAUUAUUGUGCUUUAAAAUUAAAGUUUCAGAACUGAAAAAAAAAGCUCCAUGAAACUUAGGAAGCAAUGAAACUGACUAAGCUUCAUUUCAUUGUUUCUUUGCAAAUCUUCAAUGAAGUGUGUAUGUUAAAUGGAUUAGCUGGCCAUUUCAUGCUCAGUAACGUUUGUGAUAUUAGCUUUGCAUUUGUUUUUAAUUCAUGUAAUGAGUUUAGAUUUUUAUGUUACAAGGCAAUCAUGCUAGCCUUGUAACUGUGAGGCACCCCAUGUAUUUUCUAUGGAAUCAUUUCAACCAAACUCUGUUGGCAUUAUUUCCAUUUGUUUUAACUCUAUGACUCUGAACUCUACUUCCUACACUGAGGAUGAAACCAUAGUCAAAGCUGUCACUAUGCCUGUUUAAUUCACGACACAGAUCUCUUCCCUAUCUCAGUUGGGCAAGCCCCAAAUAAGAAAGCUUCAUCUAGGGCAUCCAAAUGCCCUGGUCUACCUGGUAUCUGCCCAUGUUACCCUGGUUGCCCUGGCAUGCCACUCAGUCUAACAUAUUUCACAGGUAUUUCAACUUUAACUACUUUGGAUACUGGUAGUUGCAUUAGGAUAAUCAGAAUGGGUUUGGAGGACCUCCUCCAUGCUCUUCCCAAAUCUAUCAUUGACAUCCAUAUGCAAGAAGCAUUUUCACUUGUUAUGGACUGAAUGCUUGUGCCCCCAGAUUCAUAUGUUGAAUUCCUAAUCUCCCUUGGAACGGUUUUAGGAAGUGGAAUGGUCGAGGCCUCUGGCAGGUAGCUGUGGAUGAGGUCAUGAUGGUGGAUUUUCUUGUAAAAAGAGGCCAGAGCUCUCUCUCUACCAUAUGAAGAUAUGGCAAGAAAGCAUCUUCUGUGAACCAGAAAGAAGGCCCUCACUAAGAACUCAAUCUGCUGGCACUUUGAUUUUGGACUUCCCAGACUCCAGAAUGGUGAGAAAUCAGCGUUUGUUGUUUCUGCCAGGCAGUCUGUGGAAUUUUGCUAUAGCAGCUCGACCCAGUGGAGACAUCACUUGGCACAUGAUAAAUCCAGUGCAGGCAUUCACGACCACGUUCUCUUGUCUACGUCAUCUGCUGGUACAGCAGAAACAGCACCAGCCUUUGAGCAGAGUGAGCAGGAUGUUUGCUGAUAGAACACAGUGGCUUUCACGUAAGCAGCCUAGCUACCGUGGCCUGGGGAAGUGCCUCUUGCCCAUACCUGUGCUGUACACUUGAGCCAAACAAGAUGCACAAAUGUUUCAGGUCAAUGCAGGAGUGGACAGCAUCAGGGGGCCUGAGAAAUUAUAAGUUAGGUGUUGUUAUUGUUUAUUUGUUUUCAUCAGAUAUCAAGUUGCGAUUUGUUCCCACUGUGGGCAGUGUUCGAGGAGUGUCUAGUAGGACAUGUCUGGAUCAUAGGGACAAAUUCCUCAUGAAUGGCUUGGGGCUAUUGUCCUGGUAGGAAGUUCUCACUCUCCUGAAGUUGGAGUAGUCCUGAGGGGACUCCUCCUGAGAAUGGGUUGUUGUAAAGAGAGGGUACUCCUGCUGUUUGGUCACUCUUUGCAUGUGCCCACUUCCUCUUCAAACAUUUUUGCUAUGUCUUGACUCAGAACAGAAGUCCUCACCAGAAGCCUAGCAGAAGCUAACAUCAUGCUCCAUGUACAGCCUGCAGAACUGUGAGCCAAAUAAACCUCUUUUUUAAAAAUAUAAAUUGCUAAACCUCAGAUAAUUAUUUAUAGCAACACAAAAUGGACUAAGAUUGUGUGUAUGACCUACAGGUGGAAGGCAGUGUGGGAAAUAUGUGUGAGGAAAUGCUAUCGCUUUCUAAGUUUCCUAUGUGGCAUUGUUUGUCUUAUGAUCAUAAUUACUAUUAAUUCUUAUUUAGAAACAAGUAUUCCAAUUUUUGUCGCAUUUUGGUCAAAAAAAUUAAAAUUGUUUAAUCAAAGUAUUCAAUGAAUUAACUCCAAAAUACUUCUGUUGGAAGCUUUAAACUAAUUGCAAUACUAAAGGCAAAGCUUUCAAAAAGGAAAGUAUUGUAGUUUAUACAGAUAAAAGCAAAAUAUGGACUCAAAUAAUGGAAGCUCAAAUGUGUAUAAUAUUUAAGUUUAAAAUUCAGUUUUGUGAUCCCUCAGUCAUGGGAAAAAGCUUUAGUCAGAACUACUACUUUUAAUUAAAUAAAUGAAU
This 2321-nucleotide long non-coding RNA is filed under the name Homo sapiens (human). RNAcentral describes it as "non-protein coding lnc-PFKP-35:1". Lineage: Eukaryota; Metazoa; Chordata; Mammalia; Primates; Hominidae. The record is from RNAcentral.